UACGUAGGGUCCGAGCGUUGUCCGGAAUUACUGGGCGUAAAGAGCUCGUAGGUGGUUUGUCGCGUUGUUCGUGAAAACUCACAGCUCAACUGUGGGCGUGCGGGCGAUACGGGCAGACUAGAGUACUGCAGGGGAGACUGGAAUUCCUGGUGUAGCGGUGGAAAUGCGCAGAUAUCAGGAGGAACACCGGUGGCGAAGGCGGGUCUCUGGGCAAUAACUGACGCUGAGGAGCGAAAGCGUGGGGAGCGAACAGG
RNAcentral lists this ribosomal RNA (254 nucleotides) under uncultured bacterium. Its description in RNAcentral is "partial 16S ribosomal RNA". It matches the Rfam family "Bacterial small subunit ribosomal RNA", at positions 524 to 776 of the family's 1533-position model. The record is from RNAcentral.